GAUGGGCAAAUAUGGGUGUCGAGCCAGGCUGCCCAAUCCCUUUUCCAUCAUGAGCUGUGUCCACUCUGACUAAAAAUCUACUCAGAGAAAUCUCCUGUCAUAAUAGAAAUUUCACUCUAUGACGUCGCUUCUUAUCCUUUCGAGUCUCUCGUCUAAUAUCCAAUCCACCCCCACUUGGAGCUCCACCUCACUCUGGACUCCUCCUGGCCCUUAAAGCUCCACCUUGCACUGAGCUCUCUGUCAAAUAAUAAUGUCAUCUCAUCCUCUUUUUUUUCUUCAAAAUAACUCUAUCGUCAUGCAACACCUU
RNAcentral lists this long non-coding RNA (307 nucleotides) under Elaeis guineensis (African oil palm). RNAcentral describes it as "long non-coding RNA (EGUI_LNC003807)". The record is from RNAcentral. Lineage: Eukaryota; Viridiplantae; Streptophyta; Magnoliopsida; Arecales; Arecaceae.